Rattus norvegicus (Norway rat) is the source of this 574-nucleotide non-coding RNA. The record is from RefSeq and is a predicted model, not a curated record. NCBI's taxonomy places the organism in Eukaryota, Metazoa, Chordata, Mammalia, Rodentia, Muridae.
UGGAGCAGAGACUGAAGGAAAGGUCAUCUAGAGACUGUCCCACCUAGGGAUCCAUCACAUAUACAGAUAUCAAACCUAGGUACUAUUGUUGAUGCCAAGAAUUGCUUGCUGACAGGAGCCUGGUAUAGCUGUCCCCUGAGAGAUUCUGCAAGUACCUGAGCCCACAGACCCCAACGGAAGAGACAGGAGAAGGACUGAAGGAGUGGAAGGGGAUUAAAACUCCAUAGGAAGAAAAACAGUAACAACUAACUGGACCACCCAGAGCUCCCAGAGACUAAACCACCAACCAAAGGGUACACAUGGAGCAACUCAUGGUUCCAGAAUUUUCUUGAAGGUAACUGGAGUGGAUAGUAGCAGGAAUUACCAGCCAACAAGAAUAAAAAGCACCUACUUAUAAAUGAUUAUACUAUGUCCGACUUUGUUCGAAGUAUUUUCCAUGUCAAGUGGACCUGAAAUUCUUAGGUUGGCCUGGGCUUUCUAAUGAUACCAUGUUAAUGGACUCCCAAGAGAUUAGAUGCAAGAUACUAAAGACAUGAUUUUCCAAAUAAAACUAUGAAGCUGCAUCAAUCCUUCA